RNAcentral lists this ribosomal RNA (460 nucleotides) under uncultured bacterium. RNAcentral's name for it is "partial 16S ribosomal RNA". It matches the Rfam family "Bacterial small subunit ribosomal RNA", at positions 338 to 795 of the family's 1533-position model. The record is from RNAcentral.
CCUACGGGUGGCAGCAGUGAGGAAUAUUGGUCAAUGGGCGCGAGCCUGAACCAGCCAAGUAGCGUGAAGGAUGACUGCCCUACGGGUUGUAAACCUCUUUUAUAAAGGAAUAAAGUUAGGCACGUGUGCCUUUUUGCAUGUACUUCAUGAAUAAGGAACGGCUAAUUCCGUGCCAGCAGCCGCGGUAAUACGGAGGAUCCGAGCGUUAUCCGGAUUUAUUGGGUUUAAAGGGAGCGUAGGGGGGUUGUUAAGUCAGAUGUGAAAUUUUGUGGCUCAACCGUGAGAGUGCAAUGGAUACUGGAAGUCUUGAGUACAGGUGAGGUAGGCGGAAUUCGUGGUGUAGCGGUGAAAUGCUUAGAUAUCACGAAGAACUCCGAUUGCGAAGGCAGCUUGCUAAACUGUCACUGACGUUGAUGCUCGAAAGUGUGGGUAUCAAACAGGAUUAGAUACCCGGGUAGUC